CCUACGGGCGGCUGCAGUGAGGAAUCUUGGUCAAUGGGCGCAAGCCUGAACCAGCCAAGUCGCGUGAGGGAUGAAGGUUCUAUGGAUCGUAAACCUCUUUUAUAAGGGAAUAAAGUGCGGGACGUGUCCCGUUUCGUAUGUACCUUAUGAAUAAGGAUCGGCUAACUCCGUGCCAGCAGCCGCGGUAAUACGGAGGAUCCGAGCGUUAUCCGGAUUUAUUGGGUUUAAGGGGUGCGUAGGCGGCCUUUUAAGUUAGCGGUGAAAGUCUGUGGCUCAACCAUAGAAUGGCCGUUGAAACUGGGAGGCUUGAGUGUGUUUGAGGCAGGCGGAAUGCGUGGUGUAGCGGUGAAAUGCUUAGAUAUCACGCAGAACCCCGAUUGCGAAGGCAGCAUACCGGUGCACAACUGACGCUCAGGCACGAAAGCGUGGGUAUCGAACAGGAUUAGAUACCCGUGUAGUC
Molecule: ribosomal RNA, 460 nt
Filed under: uncultured bacterium
Lineage: Bacteria
Description: partial 16S ribosomal RNA
Rfam family: Bacterial small subunit ribosomal RNA
Source: RNAcentral